This 1793-nucleotide ribosomal RNA is filed under the name Desikacharya nostocoides BHU1-PS. RNAcentral describes it as "bacterial SSU rRNA". The stretch from base 1 to 1488 matches the Rfam family "Bacterial small subunit ribosomal RNA". Lineage: Bacteria; Bacillati; Cyanobacteriota; Cyanophyceae; Nostocales; Nodulariaceae. The record is from RNAcentral.
GGCUCAGGAUGAACGCUGGCGGUAUGCUUAACACAUGCAAGUCGAACGGAAUCUUAGGAUUUAGUGGCGGACGGGUGAGUAACGCGUGAGAAUCUAGCUUCAGGUCGGGGAUAACUACUGGAAACGGUAGCUAAUACCGGAUGUGCCGAGAGGUGAAAGGCUAGCUGCCUGAAGAUGAGCUCGCGUCUGAUUAGCUAGUUGGUAGUGUAAGCAGACUACCAAGGCGACGAUCAGUAGCUGGUCUGAGAGGAUGAUCAGCCACACUGGGACUGAGACACGGCCCAGACUCCUACGGGAGGCAGCAGUGGGGAAUUUUCCGCAAUGGGCGAAAGCCUGACGGAGCAAUACCGCGUGAGGGAGGAAGGCUCUUGGGUUGUAAACCUCUUUUCUCAAGGAAUAAGAACUGAAGGUACUUGAGGAAUCAGCAUCGGCUAACUCCGUGCCAGCAGCCGCGGUAAUACGGAGGAUGCAAGCGUUAUCCGGAAUGAUUGGGCGUAAAGCGUCCGCAGGUGGCUGUGUAAGUCUGCUGUUAAAGAGUCUAGCUUAACUAGAUAAGAGCAGUGGAAACUACAUAGCUAGAGUGCGUUCGGGGUAGAGGGAAUUCCUGGUGUAGCGGUGAAAUGCGUAGAGAUCAGGAAGAACACCGGUGGCGAAGGCGCUCUACUAGGCCGCAACUGACACUGAGGGACGAAAGCUAGGGGAGCGAAUGGGAUUAGAUACCCCAGUAGUCCUAGCCGUAAACGAUGGAUACUAGGCGUUGCGAGUAUCGACCCUCGGCAGGUGCCCGGAGCCAACGCGUUAAGUAUCCCCGCCUGGGGGAGUACGCACCGCAAGUGUGAAAACUCAAAAGGGAAUUGACGGGGGGCUCCGCACAAAGCGCGUGGAGUAUGUGGGUUUAAUUCGAUGCAACCCCGCCACCCCCCUUACCAAGGCUUGACAUGUCGCGAACCCUGAUGAAAGUUAGGGGUGCCUUCGGGAGCGCGCAACACAGGUGGUGCAUGGCUGUCGUCAGCUCGUGUCGUGAGAUGUUGGGUUAAGUCCCGCAACGAGCGCAACCCUCGUUUUUAGUUGCCAGCAUUAAGUUGGGCACUCUAGAGAGACUGCCGGUGACAAACCGGAGGAAGGUGGGGAUGACGUCAAGUCAGCAUGCCCCUUACGUCUUGGGCUACACACGUACUACAAUGCUCCGAACAGAGGGCAGCGAGCGUGCGAACGCAAGCAAAUCCCGGAAAUCGGAGCUCAGUUCAGAUCGAAGGCUGCAACUCGCCUUCGUGAAGGAGGAAUCGCUAGUAAUUGCAGGUCAGCAUACUGCAGUGAAUUCGUUCCCGGGCCUUGUACACACCGCCCGUCACACCAUGGAAGCUGGCAACGCCCGAAGUCAUUACCCCAACUUUUCAAAAGAGGGGGAUGCCUAAGGCAGUGCUGGUGACUGGGGUGAAGUCGUAACAAGGUAGCCGUACCGGAAGGUGUGGCUGGAUCACCUCSWWUUAGGGAGACCUACCCAAAUUGGAAUCAAAGCAAGCAGCGAAUAGGGAACAAGAUGGUCAUCCAAGGUCGGUGGAGUUGGGUAAAAGCUUUCAAAGUAUCGAAUGGUUUCCAGUAAAAACCCAGAAAAAAAGAGAAAAGCCAAAGGAAAAACUAGCAACUAACUUGAGUUAGACUGCUGGAUAGUUCCAGCCAGAACCUUGAAAACUGCAUAGAAACGCGAAAUUAGCAGGCAGUCAAAAAAGUCAAAAGUGAAAAGUCAAAAGUGAAAAGCUGGAGACAAGAUACAAAAGACAAAGGACUGUCAU